This 21-nucleotide non-coding RNA is filed under the name Xenopus tropicalis (tropical clawed frog). RNAcentral also lists the same sequence under 5 other names. The record is from RNAcentral. Lineage: Eukaryota; Metazoa; Chordata; Amphibia; Anura; Pipidae.
AGGGGUGCUAUCUGUGAUUGA